UUAAGUUCAGCGGGUAUCCCUACCUGAUCCGAGGUCAACCUUUGAUAAAUUGGGGGUUGCUGGCAAGCACACACCCGGAACUCCAGAAGCGAGAAGAAUUACUACGCUUGAAGCCGAAUGGCACCGCCACUGAUUUUAAGACACACCAGAACUGGUGAUGCCCAAUACCAAGCAGAGCUUGAGGGUUGUAAUGACGCUCG
Molecule: unclassified non-coding RNA, 200 nt
Filed under: Collophora sp.
Lineage: Eukaryota; Fungi; Ascomycota; Leotiomycetes
Description: partial internal transcribed spacer 2
Source: RNAcentral